CUGAAGAUACAUGUGGAUUGUGUUCAUCAAGGUUUGCAAAGCUUUCAGAGAGCUAGGAAUGACAUUGGUGGGGGCGUGAAAGAUGAGAAAGCCUCGGCUAUGGAGUCUAAACUGGAUUUGAAUUUAUCAUUUACCAGCUAUGUAUUCUCAGGCAAAUAAUAUAUUCAAACUUAGUUUCCCCAUCUAUAAAAAGAAGAAAAUAAUAUGUGCCUGCACAGUUGUCAAUAAAUGAAAUAAAUAUAUGUAACACUCCUAGCACA
Gorilla gorilla gorilla (western lowland gorilla) is the source of this 260-nucleotide long non-coding RNA. RefSeq lists it as uncharacterized. The transcript is spliced from 2 exons. The record is from RefSeq and is a predicted model, not a curated record. Lineage: Eukaryota; Metazoa; Chordata; Mammalia; Primates; Hominidae.